AACGAACGCUGGCGGCAUGCCUAACACAUGCAAGUCGAACGGGAUCCGAGCUUCGGUUCGGUGAGAGUGGCGGACGGGUGAGUAACGCGUGGGAACCUGCCCAGUGGUGGGGGAUAACUGCGGGAAAACUGCAGCUAAUACCGCAUGAGCCCGAGGGGGGAAAGAUUUAUCGCCAUUGGAGGGCCCGCGUUCGAUUAGGUAGUUGGUGAGGUAACGGCUCACCAAGCCUUCGAUCGAUAGCUGGUCUGAGAGGAUGAUCAGCCACACUGGGACUGAGAUACGGCCCAGACUCCUACGGGAGGCAGCAGUGGGGAAUAUUGGACAAUGGGGGCGAACCCUCGAUCCAGCAAUGCCGCGUGAGUGAUGAAGGGCCCUUCGGUUUCGGUU
Molecule: ribosomal RNA, 387 nt
Filed under: uncultured bacterium
Lineage: Bacteria
Description: bacterial SSU rRNA
Rfam family: Bacterial small subunit ribosomal RNA
Source: RNAcentral